Long non-coding RNA from Panicum virgatum (switchgrass), 176 nucleotides. RefSeq lists it as uncharacterized. The record is from RefSeq and is a predicted model, not a curated record. The transcript has 2 exons. Lineage: Eukaryota; Viridiplantae; Streptophyta; Magnoliopsida; Poales; Poaceae.
AUCACCCCCUAAUACUCUCUCUGAUGUGCCUUUUUUUUAUUACAGUAUGCUAUGUUACUUCAAUUGAUAUUGGUUUUCAGGUCCAGCCGCCCUGGAUAAAAAGGUCAAAUUCAACCUUGACAUAGUAAGCAAAUUCGAAAAAACUGGAGAAUUAGAACAGAAGCCAUGGAACAGAA